RNAcentral lists this ribosomal RNA (81 nucleotides) under Blumeria hordei DH14. RNAcentral describes it as "Blumeria graminis f. sp. hordei DH14 5.8S ribosomal RNA". It matches the Rfam family "5.8S ribosomal RNA", at positions 76 to 154 of the family's 154-position model. Rfam says of the family: 5.8S ribosomal RNA (5.8S rRNA) is a component of the large subunit of the eukaryotic ribosome. It is transcribed by RNA polymerase I as part of the 45S precursor that also contains 18S and 28S rRNA. Functionally, it is thought that 5.8S rRNA may be involved in ribosome translocation. The record is from Rfam by way of RNAcentral. Lineage: Eukaryota; Fungi; Ascomycota; Leotiomycetes; Helotiales; Erysiphaceae.
AGAAUUUUAGUGAAUCAUCGAAUCUUUGAACGCACAUUGCGCCCCCUGGGAAUUCCCAGGGGCAUGCCUGUUCGAGCGUCC